Molecule: ribosomal RNA, 1489 nt
Filed under: Lactiplantibacillus plantarum
Lineage: Bacteria; Bacillati; Bacillota; Bacilli; Lactobacillales; Lactobacillaceae
Description: bacterial SSU rRNA
Rfam family: Bacterial small subunit ribosomal RNA
Source: RNAcentral
GACGAACGCUGGCGGCGUGCCUAAUACAUGCAAGUCGAACGAACUCUGGUAUUGAUUGGUGCUUGCAUCAUGAUUUACAUUUGAGUGAGUGGCGAACUGGUGAGUAACACGUGGGAAACCUGCCCAGAAGCGGGGGAUAACACCUGGAAACAGAUGCUAAUACCGCAUAACAACUUGGACCGCAUGGUCCGAGUUUGAAAGAUGGCUUCGGCUAUCACUUUUGGAUGGUCCCGCGGCGUAUUAGCUAGAUGGUGGGGUAAUGGCUCACCAUGGCAAUGAUACGUAGCCGACCUGAGAGGGUAAUCGGCCACAUUGGGACUGAGACACGGCCCAAACUCCUACGGGAGGCAGCAGUAGGGGAUCUUCCACAAUGGACGAAAGUCUGAUGGAGCAACGCCGCGUGAGUGAAGAAGGGUUUCGGCUCGUAAAACUCUGUUGUUAAAGAAGAACAUAUCUGAGAGUAACUGUUCAGGUAUUGACGGUAUUUAACCAGAAAGCCACGGCUAACUACGUGCCAGCAGCCGCGGUAAUACGUAGGUGGCAAGCGUUGUCCGGAUUUAUUGGGCGUAAAGCGAGCGCAGGCGGUUUUUUAAGUCUGAUGUGAAAGCCUUCGGCUUAACCGAAGAAGUGCAUCGGAAACUGGGAAACUUGAGUGCAGAAGAGGACAGUGGAACUCCAUGUGUAGCGGUGAAAUGCGUAGAUAUAUGGAAGAACACCAGUGGCGAAGGCGGCUGUCUGGUCUGUAACUGACGCUGAGGCUCGAAAGUAUGGGUAGCAAACAGGAUUAGAUACCCUGGUAGUCCAUACCGUAAACGAUGAAUGCUAAGUGUUGGAGGGUUUCCGCCCUUCAGUGCUGCAGCUAACGCAUUAAGCAUUCCGCCUGGGGAGUACGGCCGCAAGGCUGAAACUCAAAGGAAUUGACGGGGGCCCGCACAAGCGGUGGAGCAUGUGGUUUAAUUCGAAGCUACGCGAAGAACCUUACCAGGUCUUGACAUACUAUGCAAAUCUAAGAGAUUAGACGUUCCCUUCGGGGACAUGGAUACAGGUGGUGCAUGGUUGUCGUCAGCUCGUGUCGUGAGAUGUUGGGUUAAGUCCCGCAACGAGCGCAACCCUUAUUAUCAGUUGCCAGCAUUAAGUUGGGCACUCUGGUGAGACUGCCGGUGACAAACCGGAGGAAGGUGGGGAUGACGUCAAAUCAUCAUGCCCCUUAUGACCUGGGCUACACACGUGCUACAAUGGAUGGUACAACGAGUUGCGAACUCGCGAGAGUAAGCUAAUCUCUUAAAGCCAUUCUCAGUUCGGAUUGUAGGCUGCAACUCGCCUACAUGAAGUCGGAAUCGCUAGUAAUCGCGGAUCAGCAUGCCGCGGUGAAUACGUUCCCGGGCCUUGUACACACCGCCCGUCACACCAUGAGAGUUUGUAACACCCAAAGUCGGUGGGGUAACCUUUUAGGAACCAGCCGCCUAAGGUGGGACAGAUGAUUAGGGUG